CGGGGCCGGCCCACCCGUGGGGACGACUUGAGCGUUGAGGGCGCGCGGGGAGGCGAGCCACCAUGUUCAGCCAGCAGCAGCAGCAGCAGCUCCAGCAACAGCAGCAGCAGCUCCAGCAGUUACAGCAGCAGCAGCUCCAGCAGCAGCAAUUGCAGCAGCAGCAGUUACUGCAGCUCCAGCAGCUGCUCCAGCAAUCCCCCCAGCCUGACAGCCCCCAGCCUCACACCCCCACAACUGGCCACUCCAAAUUUGCAACAGUUCUUUCCCCAGGCCACUCGCCAGUCCUUGCUGGGACCUCCUCCUGUUGGGGUCCCCAUGAACCCUUCCCAGUUCAACCUUUCAGGACGGAACCCCCAGAAACAGGCCCGGACCUCCUCCUCUACCACCCCCAAUCGAAAGGAUUCUUCUUCUCAGACAAUGCCUGUGGAAGACAAGUCAGACCCCCCAGAGGGGUCUGAGGAAGCCGCAGAGCCCCGGAUGGACACACCAGAAGACCAAGAUUUACCGCCCUGCCCAGAGGACAUUGCCAAGGAAAAACGCACUCCAGCACCUGAGCCUGAGCCUUGUGAGGUGUCCGAGCUGCCAGCAAAGAGAUUGAGGAGCUCAGAAGAGCCCACAGAAAAGGAACCUCCAGGGCAGCUACAGGCGAAGGCCCAGCCGCAGGCCCGGAUGACAGUACCGAAACAGACACAGACACCAGACCUGGUGCCUGAGCACCUGGAAGCCCAAGUGCUGCCACAAUUCCAGCCACGGGUCCUGCAGGUCCAGGCCCAGGUGCAGUCACAGACUCAGCCGCGGAUACCACCCACAGACACCCAGGUGCAGCCGAAGCUGCAGAAGCAGGCACAAACACAGACCUCUCCAGAGCACUUAGUACUGCAACAGAAGCAGGUGCAGCCACAGGUACAGCCACAGGCACAUUCAC
Molecule: small RNA, 925 nt
Filed under: Pongo abelii (Sumatran orangutan)
Lineage: Eukaryota; Metazoa; Chordata; Mammalia; Primates; Hominidae
Description: processed transcript
Source: RNAcentral